GACGAACGCUGGCGGCGUGCUUAACACAUGCAAGUCGAACGGAAAGGCCCUGCUUUUGUGGGGUGCUCGAGUGGCGAACGGGUGAGUAACACGUGAGUAACCUGCCCUUGACUUUGGGAUAACUUCAGGAAACUGGGGCUAAUACCGGAUAGGAGCUCCUGCUGCAUGGUGGGGGUUGGAAAGUUUCGGCGGUUGGGGAUGGACUCGCGGCUUAUCAGCUUGUUGGUGGGGUAGUGGCUUACCAAGGCUUUGACGGGUAGCCGGCCUGAGAGGGUGACCGGCAAAAUGGGGACUGGGUUACGGCCAGGACCCUUCCGGGAGGAAGAGGUGGGGAUUAUUGAACAAUGGGCGGAAGCCUGAUGCAGAAACGCGGCGUGCGGGAUGACGGCCUUCGGGUUGUAAACCGCUUUCGCCUGUGACGAAGCGGGAGUGACGGUAAUGGGUAAAGAAGAACCGGCUAACUACGU
RNAcentral lists this ribosomal RNA (467 nucleotides) under uncultured bacterium. RNAcentral's name for it is "partial 16S ribosomal RNA". It matches the Rfam family "Bacterial small subunit ribosomal RNA", at positions 28 to 506 of the family's 1533-position model. The record is from RNAcentral.